GCUCUAGUGGUAUGGUUAUUGUUUGUUUAGGGCCCUUGCAUGUUUGCAUAAGCAGGUAAGAUACUCCUACAAUUGUACAUUUAGAGAAGUCUCAAAAAAUGCCUAGCUGUAAAGGUUUUUAUUUUGUAAUUGCACUGAGUGGUUCACAGAGAUGUUAAGCCUGGUAACGCCAUCUUCUCUUGGAAGCUAAAUAAAGGCUAUCUCAUUGAUUUCAAUCUUGCCAUGGUUGAGUUGCUUAUCCUGCUAGUGCUGCCAUACUAAUGUGAAUUUUUAAAGCAAUCAUUUUACUGAAUUAAAAGUUAAAACAUCAAAAUAGCUGAUGGUGUUUCUGUCUUCAUUUUUCUUUUUCACAGGAUUUGCAAAGCAAGUACACUAUUGGAAGUAAGCUCUGCAUGAAUCUUUGUCCACUGUAUGAGUAAAUCAAAAUCAAGUCAUAAUGUUUCUAUUAAUCAAGUCAUAAUGGUUGAGGGCAAAGCUUGGUCUAGAACAACAAUUCUGAACAGGCCUUUGGUUCUCAAUUGUCUUAGUACUGCAAUGGUGUGUGUCUUUUACUAGAUAUUCUUUGUUACUCUAUGUGCGUGUUUGUGUUUUUGGCUAUUGGGUUGGCACCCAAUUUGUAAAGAUUGGCUCAGUUGAAAGAUUUGUUUUCUGGGUCUUUGUUUUUAUGGUGUUUAGUUGAGAAUCAUUAUGUUUAAUUGGGUUUACUCCAAUUGUGUAAUAUCCCGUAUCUGUGUUGUUAUAUACUCUCCAUUUGGUUCAAUUGAAAACAUUACUUGGGUUAUUAUUUU
This is a long non-coding RNA of Quercus robur (English oak), 788 nucleotides long. RefSeq lists it as uncharacterized. The transcript has 2 exons. The record is from RefSeq and is a predicted model, not a curated record. Lineage: Eukaryota; Viridiplantae; Streptophyta; Magnoliopsida; Fagales; Fagaceae.